This is a long non-coding RNA of Macadamia integrifolia, 511 nucleotides long. RefSeq lists it as uncharacterized. The record is from RefSeq and is a predicted model, not a curated record. The transcript is spliced from 2 exons. NCBI's taxonomy places the organism in Eukaryota, Viridiplantae, Streptophyta, Magnoliopsida, Proteales, Proteaceae.
AUGAAAACAGAGAAGGGAGAAGAAGAAAGGAAAGAAGAAGGGAAGAAAGAAGGGAGAAAGGGAGUUACUGGACUCCUACAACAGCUGGGCUACUGCCUUGUUGUUGCCACUGAUGCUGCCCUCCUUUGAAGCUGUUGGAAGUGUUGUGGUUGCUGUUGUUGCCCUCCUCUGAAGCUGUUGGAAGUGUUGUGGUUGUUGCUGCUCUAUGCACCAAUAGGUUAUCCAAGUACUACUGUUGCUGGGAGAUGGAACCAGAACUGCAUGGCUGCUGGUACUCAUCUGCACACCGAAGAAACAUAGAAUAGAUGAUGGAACCAAGGCUAAGGAACAAGUGAUCAUUACAAAGUGAAGCCGUGUACGCGAGAUACUUUCUAGCAGGAUAGAAACUCUUACUGGUCUGGAUUUUUGUAAUUAAUAAUUGUUGUAAGGUUUAUGUUAUUAUUUGUAACAUGUGGAUUCAAUACUUGUGGGCCUGUAAUAUUUUAUAUAUAUCAUAGUUAGAUGUUCACCA